GAGCACGAGAAACUUUGUCUGAACAUGGGGGGACCAUCCUCCAAGGCUAAAUACUACUGACUGACCGAUAGUGAACCAGUACCGUGAGGGAAAGGCGAAAAGAACCCCGGAGAGGGGAGUGAAAUAGAACCUGAAACCGUAUGCGUACAAGCAGUGGGAGCCUACUUGUUAGGUGACUGCGUACCUUUUGUAUAAUGGGUCAGCGACUUAUAUUCAGUGGCAAGCUUAACCGUAUAGGGUAGGCGUAGCGAAAGCGAGUCUUAAUAGGGCGUUUAGUCGCUGGGUAUAGACCCGAAACCGGGCGAUCUAUCCAUGAGCAGGUUGAAGGUUAGGUAACACUGACUGGAGGACCGAACCCACUCCCGUUGAAAAGGUAGGGGAUGACUUGUGGAUCGGAGUGAAAGGCUAAUCAAGCUCGGAGAUAGCUGGUUCUCCUCGAAAGCUAUUUAGGUAGCGCCUCAUGUAUCACUCUGGGGGGUAGAGCACUGUUUCGGCUAGGGGGUCAUCCCGACUUACCAAACCGAUGCAAACUCCGAAUACCCAGAAGUGCCGAGCAUGGGAGACACACGGCGGGUGCUAACGUCCGUCGUGAAAAGGGAAACAACCCAGACCGCCAGCUAAGGUCCCAAAGUUGUGGUUAAGUGGUAAACGAUGUGGGAAGGCUUAGACAGCUAGGAGGUUGGCUUAGAAGCAGCCAUCCUUUAAAGAAAGCGUAAUAGCUCACUAGUCGAGUCGGCCUGCGCGGAAGAUGUAACGGGGCUCAAACCACACACCGAAGCUGCGGGUGUCACGUAAGUGACGCGGUAGAGGAGCGUUCUGUAAGCCUGUGAAGGUGAGUUGAGAAGCUUGCUGGAGGUAUCAGAAGUGCGAAUGCUGACAUGAGUAACGACAAUGGGUGUGAAAAACACCCACGCCGAAAGACCAAGGGUUCCUGCGCAACGUUAAUCGACGCAGGGUUAGUCGGUUCCUAAGGCGAGGCUGAAAAGCGUAGUCGAUGGGAAACAGGUUAAUAUUCCUGUACUUCUGGUUACUGCGAUGGAGGGACGGAGAAGGCUAGGCCAGCUUGGCGUUGGUUGUCCAAGUUUAAGGUGGUAGGCUGAAAUCUUAGGUAAAUCCGGGGUUUCAAGGCCGAGAGCUGAUGACGAGUCGUCUUUUAGAUGACGAAGUGGUUGAUGCCAUGCUUCCAAGAAAAGCUUCUAAGCUUCAGGUAACCAGGAACCGUACCCCAAACCGACACAGGUGGUCGGGUAGAGAAUACCAAGGCGCUUGAGAGAACUCGGGUGAAGGAACUAGGCAAAAUGGCACCGUAACUUCGGGAGAAGGUGCGCCGGCUAGGGUGAAGGAUUUACUCCGUAAGCUCUGGCUGGUCGAAGAUACCAGGCCGCUGCGACUGUUUAUUAAAAACACAGCACUCUGCAAACACGAAAGUGGACGUAUAGGGUGUGACGCCUGCCCGGUGCCGGAAGGUUAAUUGAUGGGGUUAGCGCAAGCGAAGCUCUUGAUCGAAGCCCCGGUAAACGGCGGCCGUAACUAUAACGGUCCUAAGGUAGCGAAAUUCCUUGUCGGGUAAGUUCCGACCUGCACGAAUGGCGUAACGAUGGCGGCGCUGUCUCCACCCGAGACUCAGUGAAAUUGAAAUCGCUGUGAAGAUGCAGUGUAUCCGCGGCUAGACGGAAAGACCCCGUGAACCUUUACUGUAGCUUUGCACUGGACUUUGAGCCUGCUUGUGUAGGAUAGGUGGGAGGCUUUGAAGCGUGGACGCCAGUUCGCGUGGAGCCAUCCUUGAAAUACCACCCUGGCAUGCUUGAGGUUCUAACUCUGGUCCGUGAUCCGGAUCGAGGACAGUGUAUGGUGGGCAGUUUGACUGGGGCGGUCUCCUCCUAAAGAGUAACGGAGGAGUACGAAGGUGCGCUC
RNAcentral lists this ribosomal RNA (1914 nucleotides) under Pseudomonas aeruginosa. RNAcentral describes it as "partial 23S ribosomal RNA". It matches the Rfam family "Bacterial large subunit ribosomal RNA", at positions 420 to 2323 of the family's 2925-position model. The record is from RNAcentral. Lineage: Bacteria; Pseudomonadati; Pseudomonadota; Gammaproteobacteria; Pseudomonadales; Pseudomonadaceae.